This is a non-coding RNA of Triticum aestivum (bread wheat), 125 nucleotides long. The record is from Rfam. Lineage: Eukaryota; Viridiplantae; Streptophyta; Magnoliopsida; Poales; Poaceae.
AUUCUACUCUCUCCGUCCAGAAAUACUUGUCAGAAAAAUGGAUGUAUCUAGACGUAUUUUAGUUCUAUAUACAUCUACUUUUAUCUAUUUCUGUGACAAGUAAUUCCGGACGGAGGGAGUAUCAU